This 236-nucleotide unclassified non-coding RNA is filed under the name Hevea brasiliensis (rubber tree). The record is from RNAcentral. Lineage: Eukaryota; Viridiplantae; Streptophyta; Magnoliopsida; Malpighiales; Euphorbiaceae.
GCAAACAAAAGUGAAAAUAUCAGUGAGGAGAAUCCCUACAAAAGAUUGAGAAGCCAUUGAUAAAAUAUCCAAGGAUCAAAAUGAGUUUCUCUUGCCAAUAUAUCUUUUGACUCUUUUGAUAAUUCGACAUAUUACUCCAACAUUAAUAAAUAAUUAAAACAAAAAGAGAAAUGUUAAUAAUCUUUAUAGAAAUCUUAAGAGGCAAUUAACUAUUUUGGUUCUUGAAGUCAUCUCAU